Molecule: ribosomal RNA, 220 nt
Filed under: Escherichia coli
Lineage: Bacteria; Pseudomonadati; Pseudomonadota; Gammaproteobacteria; Enterobacterales; Enterobacteriaceae
Description: partial 16S ribosomal RNA
Rfam family: Bacterial small subunit ribosomal RNA
Source: RNAcentral
AAAUUGAAGAGUUUGAUCAUGGCUCAGAUUGAACGCUGGCGGCAGGCCUAACACAUGCAAGUCGAACGGUAACAGGAAGAAGCUUGCUUCUUUGCUGACGAGUGGCGGACGGGUGAGUAAUGUCUGGGAAACUGCCUGAUGGAGGGGGAUAACUACUGGAAACGGUAGCUAAUACCGCAUAACGUCGCAAGACCAAAGAGGGGGACCCUCGGGCCUCUUG